ACCAUGCAGUCGACGCGAAGGGGAGCAAUCCCUGAGUAGAGUGGCAAACGGGUGAGUAACACGUGGGUGACCUGCCUUCGAGUGGGGGAUAACGUCCCGAAAGGGACGCUAAUACCGCAUGACAUCCUGCUUUUGGAAAAGCGGAGAUCAAAGCCGGGGAUCGCAAGACCUGGCGCUUGAAGAGGGGCCCGCGCCUGAUUAGCUAGUUGGUGGGGUAACGGCCUACCAAGGCGACGAUCAGUAUCCGGCCUGAGAGGGCGGACGGACACACUGGGACUGAGACACGGCCCAGACUCCUACGGGAGGCAGCAGUGGGGAAUUGUUCGCAAUGGGCGCAAGCCUGACGACGCAACGCCGCGUGGAGGACGAAGAUCUUCGGGUCGUAAACUCCUGUCGAGUGGGAAGAACGCUUCGCGGGUGAAUACUCCGCGGAAUUGACGGUACCACUAAAGGAAGCCCCGGCUAACUCCGUGCCAGCAGCCACGGUAAUACGGGGGGGGCAAGCGUUGUUCGGAAUUACUGGGCGUAAAGGGCUCGUAGGCGGCCAACUAAGUCGGAUGUGAAAUCCCCAGGCUUAACCUGGGAACUGCAUCCGAUACUGGAUGGCUUGAAUUCGGGAGAGGGAUGCAGAAUUCCAGGUGUAGCGGUGAAAUGCGUAGAUAUCUGGAGGAAUACCGGGUGGCGAAUGCGGCAUCCUGGACCGACAUUGACGCUGAGAAGCCGAAAGCCUGGAGCA
Molecule: ribosomal RNA, 736 nt
Filed under: uncultured bacterium
Lineage: Bacteria
Description: bacterial SSU rRNA
Rfam family: Bacterial small subunit ribosomal RNA
Source: RNAcentral